UUUUGACCUCAGUUCAGACAAGGCUACCCGCCGAAUUUAAGCAUAUUACUAAGCGGAGGAAAAGAAACUAACAAGGAUUCCCCUAGUAACGGCGAGCGAACCGGGAAGAGCCCAACUUGAAAAUCUAAAGGUUGUACCUUUCGAAUUGUAGUCUAGAGACGCGUUCUCUGCGGCGGAUCGGCUCCAAGUUCCCUGGAAGGGACGUCAGAGAGGGUGAGAACCCCGUCGAAGCCGGUUUCAGUCGCUCCACGAGGCGCAGUCGAGGAGUCGGGUUGUUUGGGAAUGCAGCCCUAAGCAGGUGGUAAAUUCCAUCUAAGGCUAAAUAUUGGCGAGAGACCGAUAGCGAACAAGUACCGCGAGGGAAAGAUGAAAAGACCUUUGAAAAGAGAGUUAAAAAGUACCUGAAAUUGUUGAGGGGGAAGCGAUUCAAACCUGUGGGUGCUCCCGGGGCAGUAGCAAUACACGCGCUCGGGGCUGGUCAACGUGGGUUAGCUUGGAAGGAUAUCACUUCCGAGUUGACCGAGGACUCGACGUUGGCGGAAAGGUUUGCAUUGACCCGUCUAGAAACACGGACCAAGGAGUCUAA
This 586-nucleotide ribosomal RNA is filed under the name uncultured Mamiellales. RNAcentral describes it as "eukaryotic LSU rRNA". It matches the Rfam family "Eukaryotic large subunit ribosomal RNA", at positions 1 to 678 of the family's 3401-position model. Lineage: Eukaryota; Viridiplantae; Chlorophyta; Mamiellophyceae; Mamiellales. The record is from RNAcentral.